Molecule: transfer RNA, 95 nt
Filed under: Bacillota bacterium
Lineage: Bacteria; Bacillati; Bacillota
Description: Firmicutes bacterium (anaerobic digester metagenome) tRNA-Sec
Rfam family: Selenocysteine transfer RNA
Source: RNAcentral
GGGAAUGGAGGAGUCCUGGUGGACUCUCUGGACUUCAAAUCCAGUAACGGGCAGUGUAUGUCCGUGGUGGGUUCGAUUCCCAUGCAUUCCCGCCA